Molecule: small nuclear RNA, 136 nt
Organism: Chanos chanos (milkfish)
Lineage: Eukaryota; Metazoa; Chordata; Actinopteri; Gonorynchiformes; Chanidae
Product: U11 spliceosomal RNA
Exons: 1
Source: RefSeq, a predicted model, not a curated record
AAAAAGGGCAUCUGCUUUGUCUGGCACAGUAGGGAAAGGGACUCUCUGACCUUACUGCGGAAUCGCAAUCAAGAGAUUUCGGAUGCAUAAUUUUUAAUAACCGGGACUGCUGAUGGUCGUUUACCUCGGCGUCCCA